RNAcentral lists this ribosomal RNA (1067 nucleotides) under Malbranchea conjugata. RNAcentral's name for it is "eukaryotic LSU rRNA". It matches the Rfam family "Eukaryotic large subunit ribosomal RNA", at positions 1 to 1082 of the family's 3401-position model. The record is from RNAcentral. Lineage: Eukaryota; Fungi; Ascomycota; Eurotiomycetes; Onygenales; Malbrancheaceae.
UUGACCUCGGAUCAGGUAGGGAUACCCGCUGAACUUAAGCAUAUCAAUAAGCGGAGGAAAAGAAACCAACAGGGAUUGCCCCAGUAACGGCGAGUGAAGCGGCAAAAGCUCAAAUUUGAAAUCUGGCUCCGCUCCGGGGUCCGAGUUGUAAUUUGCAGAGGAUGCUUUGGGUGCACCCGUGGCGUAAGUCCCCUGGAACGGGGCGUCAUAGAGGGUGAGAAUCCCGUCUUGAGUCGCUGGCGUGCGCCCGUGCAAAGCUCCUUCGACGAGUCGAGUUGUUUGGGAAUGCAGCUCUAAUUGGGUGGUAAAUUUCAUCUAAAGCUAAAUACUGGCCGGAGACCGAUAGCGAACAAGUAGAGUGAUCGAAAGGUUAAAAGCACCUUGAAAAGGGAGUUAAAUAGCACGUGAAAUUGUUGAAAGGGAAGCGCUUGCCGCCAGACUCGGGCGCGGAGGCUCAGCGGGCAUGUUUGCCCGUGUACUCCUGCGCGCCCGGGCCAGCAUCAGUUUUGGCGGCCGGUCAAAGGCCUCCGGGAUGUAUCGUCCUCCGGGACGUCUUAUAACCGGGGGGUGCAAUGCGGCCAGCCCGGGACUGAGGAACGCGCUCCGGCACGGAUGCUGGCGUAAUGGCGGUAAGCGGCCCGUCUUGAAACACGGACCAAGGAGUCUAACAUCCACGCGAGUGUUCGGGUGUCAAACCCGUGCGCGCAGUGAAAGCGAACGGAGGUGAGAGCCCGCAAGGGUGCAUCAUCGACCGAUCCUGAAGUCUUCGGAUGGAUUUGAGUAAGAGCGUGGCUGCUGGGACCCGAAAGAUGGUGAACUAUGCCUGAAUAGGGUGAAGCCAGAGGAAACUCUGGUGGAGGCUCGCAGCGGUUCUGACGUGCAAAUCGAUCGUCAAAUUUGGGUAUAGGGGCGAAAGACUAAUCGAACCAUCUGGUAGCUGGUUCCUGCCGAAGUUUCCCUCAGGAUAGCAGUAGUGAGUUCAGUUUUAUGAGGUAAAGCGAAUGAUUAGAGGCUCGGGGGUUGAAACAACCUUCACCUAUUCUCAAACUUUAAAUAUGUAAGAAGUC